UUUGUUCUACCGUGAAUACCCACAAACGCUUUAAGCUUCCAAUUGCGAGCACAAGCAACGUUUACACGCUAGAGCGCGACCUAAACAUUCGUUUAAUAAAAGAAACCGACCAAUAUGUAGUUUCUUAUGCAGAACUAUAUAGUUUUGAAUUCCUCAUUGUACCUGAGGAUACGUAGGAGCGAGACAUGCAAUCUCACCAAGCACCCUAAUAAAAAAC
Molecule: long non-coding RNA, 217 nt
Filed under: Lathyrus oleraceus (garden pea)
Lineage: Eukaryota; Viridiplantae; Streptophyta; Magnoliopsida; Fabales; Fabaceae
Description: Pisum sativum (pea) long non-coding RNA (PSAT_LNC020314)
Source: RNAcentral